UUCAUUUAAAAUUAAAUUAAAAUGCAGACCCUCUUGAACCGGUGACCAGGACCCAGGCAAGUGUGAGUGCCACUGAAAAAUCAGCUCGCGUGCCACCGGUUGCCUACCCCUGGUUUAGAUAAUGCCAAAUCCACUUGUAAGAUACAGGAACAUAGAGCUUGCCAUAAUGAGUCACCCCAUCCUUCAUUCAUGUCUUAUAUGGUCUCCUGUCUGGCUAUUGCGAAUCCCUAACACUUCAUAGGGGAAACUCCCAACUAUAAUGCACCUACCCAAUUCUGGAGUGACAAACUGUAUGCAUCUGUGUGCUUUUUGACUUCCGCUUGCGUUUUGCCAUGCUGUGCUGUACAAGCAUACAGUAGACACUACUAGUCCAUAUGCAGUUGGCAUGAGAGCACCAUACUCCACCAAAGUGCAAACUAAUUAAUUUUGAGACAGCUCCCCGCAGCAGAAAGCUAAGUGUCACACUUCAGUGAACUACCUUAGUUAAGCCAUUUUGUUAGUCUCAAGUAUUUUCAACAGGAAAACCUUGACAUGUACAUAGUACAUGUACACAACUGACAGAUUUACACUCUGGCAAGACAGUAACUAUGUAACACUUUAUAUAAGAAUCCUGGGCAGUCUUUAUUCUAUUUCAGAUAUGGCUGUUGUAAUAGUAAUCAGUCAUGUCAGUAGAAACAGACUCCUCCUUUGCCAGGAACUCUGAUACAUAGAUAGAUAAUUGGGACUAGGAAAUAAAGUUCCUUUGUCUUGUACCAGUUCUCUUAUUACACUGUUAUUAAACUCAUCAGUUAAAAAAAGUGAGAUGUGCAAGAUCAUUUGUUUCUGUAUUUUUUCCCCCAUCACUUUCACUCACUCCACAAGAACAUGGUGUUUCUUUUUGUUUAAUUAUUGCAAUUGUGUUGAUACAUAACUAAGUAUGCUAUGGAUAAAGUUAGUUUGUAACUGAGUAAAAUAUCAACCAAAUACUGUUAUUAUAUAACUAUAUAAAUGUAGUGAGGCAGUGUGGGUCUCUGCUGCCCCAGAGAGAGAUGAGCCUCUCUGGACACCAGAGGGUUAGGCAUGGCACAGGAAGUCCAAAGGCCUAACUCCAGAGCUCACUGCGAGGGCAGCCGCUGGGGAGGCUAGAUGUCUCCAGCCUACCUCCGAGUUGGGAAACCCCAGCAACCUGCAGCGGACCCAAGGGCUGGCUGGGCCUGCCCCAGGCCAGCUACCCGGGUUGCCAAGCCUGCCCUGCGCUGGCUAUCCCAAGGAACCCAUGGUGCUGGACCCCCGCCUGAGGACACCACCCUGACCCAGCUGCAGCCAUCACCACCACAAGGAUACCACAGUGCCUAGAGGUGUUCAGCAACUGGAAUAAAAACAUUUGAUUCAAACUCAACCUGGGCAAAAAUAAAGUGGUGUUUGAAAGAGGGAAAACUCUUUGAAGAACCAGCUGAGUCAUUGUCCUCCCAUUCCACUGAAAGCCUCUCCCCCAGUAGUGUUGUAGCUGGGUCCUCAUUCACUGCAUCAUCUACAAUGUACCAAGAAAGCUAUGCUUCUCAGGGGCAAUACAAUUCAGAAUGAAGCUCUGAGAGACGUGGAAACAAAGCAUCAUUGGUCCAAGGGGUUGAACUGUCAAACAAGUUUGCAGAGGAAAUCAGGCUAAUCCAGAAUCUCAGUUUCAGGGCACAUUCCAAAACACUCUUUGACAAAGCUUCUCCAAUAAAACCAGAUUAAUGGGGUAGGGAGAAAAAAGGAUGGAGGAGAGGGAGAGUAACAAAGAAAUAGAAAGUAUAUAUACCAAGCAGAGGAGCCUCCAUCCUUUAUAUGGAAAUGGAGAAGAACAGAAUUGUAUGACAUCAAUGUAGGGACCUUGCCCUGCAAACCAAAUCUUAACUGGGAAGCAGUUAGCAGUUUUCUGCAGCAGUAUCCAUCACCAUAAUAACUAAUAGGUAAGUGAACAGAAAGACAGGGAAAUCUACACAGAAACUGACAGAAGAAUCUAGAUCUUAAAAAUGUGUUUAUUAAGUGACAUGGGCAUGUUAAAUGUCCCAGUGGAUUUUGGUUAACAGGAAUGUACUUAAAAUGUCAGGGCUAGAUGAAGUUUGAUGGGGGGCCCCCUUUUUGCAUAUUCAGUUCCUUCCCUUUAUUGUUUUGCCACCAUCCGUGCCUGGUACCAAACACUCCACUCUAAAUUACCUUUAUUUCAGUUCUGGUUUUUAAGAAAGUGAUAUACCAAUUGUAAAGCUGAAUUAAAGUUCAACAGACAUUUUAA
This is a non-coding RNA of Chrysemys picta bellii (western painted turtle), 2254 nucleotides long. The record is from RefSeq and is a predicted model, not a curated record. NCBI's taxonomy places the organism in Eukaryota, Metazoa, Chordata, Testudines, Emydidae.